CUACGGACUUAAAUUUUUUGAGCCUUGGUAUAGAAAUCCGUUGGUUUUAUAGAUCGUGAGGGUU
This 64-nucleotide transfer RNA is filed under the name Juniperus sabina. RNAcentral describes it as "partial tRNA-Leu". The record is from RNAcentral. Lineage: Eukaryota; Viridiplantae; Streptophyta; Pinopsida; Cupressales; Cupressaceae.